This 616-nucleotide ribosomal RNA is filed under the name uncultured bacterium. RNAcentral's name for it is "bacterial SSU rRNA". The stretch from base 1 to 541 matches the Rfam family "Bacterial small subunit ribosomal RNA", at positions 338 to 873 of the family's 1533-position model. The record is from RNAcentral.
CCUACGGGAGGCAGCAGUGGGGAAUUUUGGACAAUGGGCGCAAGCCUGAUCCAGCCAUGCCGCGUGUGGGAAGAAGGCCUUCGGGUUGUAAACCACUUUUGUCAGGGAAGAAACGGUCUGAACUAAUACUUUGGACUAAUGACGGUACCUGAAGAAUAAGCACCGGCUAACUACGUGCCGGCAGCCGCGGUAAUACGUAGGGUGCAAGCGUUAAUCGGAAUUACUGGGCGUAAAGCGUGCGCAGGCGGCUUUGCAAGACAGAUGUGAAAUCCCCGGGCUCAACCUGGGAACUGCAUUUGUGACUGCAUGGCUAGAGUACGGUAGAGGGGGAUGGAAUUCCGCGUGUAGCAGUGAAAUGCGUAGAUAUGCGGAGGAACACCGAUGGCGAAGGCAAUCCCCUGGACCUGUACUGACGCUCAUGCACGAAAGCGUGGGGAGCAAACAGGAUUAGAUACCCUGGUAGUCCACGCCCUAAACGAUGUCAACUGGUUGUUGGGAGGGUUUCUUCUCAGUACGAAGCUAACGCGUGAAGUUGACCGCCUGGGGAGGACGGCGCGAGUAGUUAAGUUACGAAGAAGUUAGAGNGNGAGAGNGCGAGGACGACGACGAGGAGAGG